This 173-nucleotide non-coding RNA is filed under the name Collinsella sp. CAG:289. Its description in RNAcentral is "Lysine riboswitch aptamer". It matches the Rfam family "Lysine riboswitch aptamer". From Rfam's summary of the family: Riboswitches are metabolite binding domains within certain messenger RNAs that serve as precision sensors for their corresponding targets. Allosteric rearrangement of mRNA structure is mediated by ligand binding, and this results in modulation of gene expression. Lineage: Bacteria; Bacillati; Actinomycetota; Coriobacteriia; Coriobacteriales; Coriobacteriaceae. The record is from Rfam by way of RNAcentral. RNAcentral also lists the same sequence under 1 other name.
AAACUCGAUAGAGGAGCGGGCGCGAAGACGCGCGGGCGAGCCGGCAGGCAACGACCCCGCACCGAGGCAACCCCGCCGAACUUGGUCGACCGGGCGCGGAAGGCCAGGUGGGCUUGCGGGGAACACCCGCAAGACUGUCUGCACAGACAUUCUGCAGGAGUGCUAUCAGAAAA